UACGUAGGGUGCGAGCGUUGUCCGGAUUUAUUGGGCGUAAAGGGCGCGUAGGCGGCUCGGCACGUCCGUUGUGAAAUCGCCCGGCUCAACUGGGCGGGGUCGGUGGAUACGGCCGAGCUGGAGCAAGCUAGGGGGUAAUGGAAUUCCCGGUGUAGUGGUGGAAUGCGUAGAUAUCGGGAGGAACACCAGUGGCGAAGGCGGUUACCUGGAGCUUUGCUGACGCUGAUGCGCGAAAGCGUGGGGAGCGAUCCGG
This 253-nucleotide ribosomal RNA is filed under the name uncultured bacterium. RNAcentral describes it as "partial 16S ribosomal RNA". It matches the Rfam family "Bacterial small subunit ribosomal RNA", at positions 524 to 776 of the family's 1533-position model. The record is from RNAcentral.